CUGGUCUUGACAUCCGGACGCCGUAUGGGCAAUGCCAUACUUCCUUCGGGACGUCCGAGACAGGUGGUGCAUGGUUGUCGUCAGCUCGUGUCGUGAGAUGUUGGGUUAAGUCCCGCAACGAGCGCAACCCCUAUUUCCAGUAGCCAGCAGGUGAGGCUGGGCACUCUGGAGAGACUGCCCGGGACAACCGGGAGGAAGGCGGGGAUGACGUCAAAUCAUCAUGCCCCUUAUGAUCAGGGCUACACACGUGCUACAAUGGCGUAAACAAAGGGAAGCGAAGCGGUGACGCCUGGCAAAUCCCAGAAAUAACGUCCCAGUUCGGAUUGUAGUCUGCAACCCGACUACAUGAAGCUGGAAUCGCUAGUAAUCGCGAAUCAGAAUGUCGCGGUGAAUACGUUCCC
RNAcentral lists this ribosomal RNA (401 nucleotides) under uncultured bacterium. RNAcentral describes it as "bacterial SSU rRNA". It matches the Rfam family "Bacterial small subunit ribosomal RNA", at positions 975 to 1375 of the family's 1533-position model. The record is from RNAcentral.